Molecule: ribosomal RNA, 406 nt
Filed under: uncultured bacterium
Lineage: Bacteria
Description: partial 16S ribosomal RNA
Rfam family: Bacterial small subunit ribosomal RNA
Source: RNAcentral
GACGAACGCUGGCGGCGUGCUUAACACAUGCAAGUCGAACGAGUGGCGAACGGGUGAGGAAUACGUGAGUAACCUGCCCUCUUUUUGGGAUAAGCCUUGGAAACGGGGUCUAAUACCGAAUAAAGGGGGAUGGGCUCGCGGCCUAUCGGCUGGUUGGUGGGGUGAUGGCCUACCAAGGCGGUGACGGGUAGCCGGCGUGAGAGGGUGACCGUGGACAUUGGGACCGGGACAGGGCCCAGACGCAUGCGGGAGGGAGCAGUGGGGGAUAUUGCGCAAUGGGCGAAAGCCUGAUGGAGGGACGCCGCGAGGGGGUUUAAGGCUUUCGGGUUGUAUACCGUUUUCGCGAUCGGAAGGGUAGGUGGAGAAGAAGCGCCGGCUAACUACGUGCCAGCAGCCGCGGUAAUUC